Molecule: ribosomal RNA, 253 nt
Filed under: uncultured bacterium
Lineage: Bacteria
Description: partial 16S ribosomal RNA
Rfam family: Bacterial small subunit ribosomal RNA
Source: RNAcentral
GACGAACCGUGCGAACGUUGUUCGGAAUCACUGGGCUUAAAGGGCGCGUAGGCGGGUUGUCAAGUCCGGGGUGAAAGCCCCCAGCUCAACUGGGGAAGUGCCUUGGAUACUGGGAACCUCGAGGGAGGUAGGGGCGUGCGGAACUUCCGGUGGAGCGGUGAAAUGCGUAGAGAUUGGAAAGAACACCGAUGGCGAAGGCACUUUACUGGGCUAUUACUAACACUCAGAGACGAAAGCUAGGGUAGCAAAUGGG